This 308-nucleotide ribosomal RNA is filed under the name Glacies alpinata. Its description in RNAcentral is "partial 12S ribosomal RNA". The record is from RNAcentral. Lineage: Eukaryota; Metazoa; Arthropoda; Insecta; Lepidoptera; Geometridae.
AGUAUUUAUUUAUAUUGAACUUAAAUAUUUUGGCGGUAUUUUAGUUUAUUUAGAGGAAUCUGUUUAUUAAUUGAUAAUCCACGAAUAAAUUUACUUAAUUUAUUAUUUUGUAUAUCAUUGUUAGAAAAAUAUUUUUUAAUGAUAAUAAUAUUUUAAAUUUAUAAAUAAAAAUUAAAUCAAAUCAAGAUGCAGAUUAUAAUUAAGAAUAUAAUGGAUUACAAUAAAUUUAUUUAUAUGAAUUUUGAUUUGUAAUAAUUAAAUGAAGGUGGAUUUAAAUGUAAUUUUAUUUAUUUUAAUAAAAUGAUUAA